Molecule: transfer RNA, 75 nt
Filed under: Candidatus Methanoperedentaceae archaeon HGW-Methanoperedenaceae-1
Lineage: Archaea; Methanobacteriati; Methanobacteriota; Methanomicrobia; Methanosarcinales; Candidatus Methanoperedentaceae
Also listed under: 2 other names
Description: Candidatus Methanoperedenaceae archaeon HGW-Methanoperedenaceae-1 tRNA-Arg
Rfam family: tRNA
About the family: Transfer RNA (tRNA) molecules are approximately 80 nucleotides in length.
Source: RNAcentral
GGGCUCGUGGCUUAGCCAGGAUAUAGCGCCGGGCUUCUAACCCGGAUGCCGGGGGUUCGAAUCCCCUCGGGCCCG